Non-coding RNA from Pelobates cultripes (western spadefoot toad), 236 nucleotides. The record is from the annotation of a GenBank genome assembly. Lineage: Eukaryota; Metazoa; Chordata; Amphibia; Anura; Pelobatidae.
GGAAGUAGUUUCUGCUGUUACAUUCAAUAAUCUAAUCUUACAAAAUAUCACAUAUACAUUGUGGUUAGGCAUUUCCUGAUACAUAGAAACUGUCAUAGCUUGUGACUUCCUUUCAGUUAUGUUUUGCAAGCAGUUCUGAAAUACUGACAGAUUCAUUGUUUAACCCCUUAAGGACCAAAUUUCUGGAAUAAAAGGGAAUCAUGACAUGUCAUGUGUCCUUAAGGGGUCAAUAUUCC